This 253-nucleotide ribosomal RNA is filed under the name uncultured bacterium. RNAcentral describes it as "partial 16S ribosomal RNA". It matches the Rfam family "Bacterial small subunit ribosomal RNA", at positions 524 to 776 of the family's 1533-position model. The record is from RNAcentral.
UACGUAGGGGGCAAGCGUUAUCCGGAUUUACUGGGUGUAAAGGGAGCGUAGACGGCCGUACAAGUCUGAAGUGAAAGCCCGUGGCUCAACCGCGGAACUGCUUUGGAAACUGUAAGGCUGGAGUACUGGAGAGGCAGGCGGAAUUCCUAGUGUAGCGGUGAAAUGCGUAGAUAUUAGGAGGAACACCAGUGGCGAAGGCGGCCUGCUGGACAGAAACUGACGUUGAGGCUCGAAAGCGUGGGGAGCAAACAGG